AGCGAACGCUGGCGGCAGGCCUAACACAUGCAAGUCGAACGGAACCUUCGGGAUUAGUGGCGGACGGGGGAGUAACACGGGGGAACGUGCCCUUUGGUUCGGAACAAUUCAGGUAAACUUGAGCUAAUACAGGAUGUGCUAUUCGGGGAAAAGAUUUAACGCGAUUGGAGCGGCCCGGGACUGUUUAGCUAGUUGGUGAGGUAACGGCCCACCAAAGCGUAGCUCAUUAGCUGGGCUGAGAGGAUGCUCAGCCACACUGGGACUGAGACACGGCCCAGAGUCCUACGCGAGGGAGGAGUGGGGAAUCUAGCGCAAUGGGGGAAAGCCUGACGCAGCCAGGGCGCGUGAAUGAUGAAGGUCGUAGGAUUGUGAAAUUCUUUCAGCCGGGACGAUAAUGACGGUACCCGCAGAAGAAGCACCGGCUAACUUCGUG
RNAcentral lists this ribosomal RNA (433 nucleotides) under uncultured bacterium. RNAcentral's name for it is "partial 16S ribosomal RNA". It matches the Rfam family "Bacterial small subunit ribosomal RNA", at positions 29 to 507 of the family's 1533-position model. The record is from RNAcentral.